CCCUUAGAUGUCCUGGGCCGCACGCGCGCUACACUGAUGCAUGCAACGAGUUUCAUUUCUCCUGGGUCGAGAGGCCCGGGUAAUCUGUUGAACGUGCAUCGUGAUAGGGAUAGAUCAUUGCAAUUAUUGAUCUUGAACGAGGAAUUCCCAGUAAGCGCGAGUCAUAAGCUCGCGUUGAUUACGUCCCUGCCCUUUGUACACACCGCCCGUCGCUACUACCGAUUGAACGGUUUAGUGAGGGCCUCGGAUUGGUCUCGGCCCGCUCUUUACCGGGCGGCGCCGUUGGUCGAGAAGACGCUCGAACUUGAUCGUUUAGAGGAAGUAAAAGUCGUAACA
RNAcentral lists this ribosomal RNA (336 nucleotides) under uncultured eukaryote. RNAcentral's name for it is "partial 18S ribosomal RNA". It matches the Rfam family "Eukaryotic small subunit ribosomal RNA", at positions 1470 to 1796 of the family's 1831-position model. The record is from RNAcentral.